RNAcentral lists this transfer RNA (76 nucleotides) under Xanthomonas cissicola. RNAcentral describes it as "[Pseudomonas] cissicola tRNA-Gly". It matches the Rfam family "tRNA". From Rfam's summary of the family: Transfer RNA (tRNA) molecules are approximately 80 nucleotides in length. Their secondary structure includes four short double-helical elements and three loops (D, anti-codon, and T loops). The record is from RNAcentral. Lineage: Bacteria; Pseudomonadati; Pseudomonadota; Gammaproteobacteria; Lysobacterales; Lysobacteraceae.
GCGGGAAUAGCUCAGUUGGUAGAGUGCAACCUUGCCAAGGUUGAGGUCGCGAGUUCGAGUCUCGUUUCCCGCUCCA